AGUGAACGCUGGCGGUAGGCCUAACACAUGCAAGUCGAACGGCAGCACAGUAAGAGCUUGCUCUUACGGGUGGCGAGUGGCGGACGGGUGAGGUAUACAUCGGAAUCUACUUUUUCGUGGGGGAUAACGUAGGGAAACUUACGCUAAUACCGCAUACGACCUACGGGUGAAAGCAGGGGAUCUUCGGCCCUUGCGCGAUUGAAUGAGCCGAUGUCGGAUUAGCUAGUUGGCGGGGUAAAGGCCCACCAAGGCGACGAUCCGUAGCUGGUCUGAGAGGAUGAUCAGCCACACUGGAACUGAGACACGGUCCAGACUCCUACGGGAGGCAGCAGUGGGGAAUAUUGGACAAUGGGCGCAAGCCUGAUCCAGCCAUACCGCGUGGGUGAAGAAGGCCUUCGGGUUGUAAAGCCCUUUUGUUGGGAAAGAAAAGCAGCAGGUUAAUACCCCGCUGUUCUGACGGUACCCAAAGAAUAAGCACCGGCUAACUUCGUG
Molecule: ribosomal RNA, 492 nt
Filed under: uncultured bacterium
Lineage: Bacteria
Description: partial 16S ribosomal RNA
Rfam family: Bacterial small subunit ribosomal RNA
Source: RNAcentral